Molecule: long non-coding RNA, 600 nt
Filed under: Homo sapiens (human)
Lineage: Eukaryota; Metazoa; Chordata; Mammalia; Primates; Hominidae
Description: non-protein coding lnc-NUDT6-5:1
Source: RNAcentral
GCAGUUCUCUUCUCAGGCUACUCUAGCACAGCUGUGGCCAGCUGCACUCAGCCUUCAGCCCAGCCAUGGAUUAUAUACCAGAUGAUUCCUGUUCAUUGAAAAUACUGGAAACAACAAGGAAUACAUCACACUGCCGAGAAAUUGGAUCCACCCAGAGAGACCAAAGGAAAGCUAUGACAUUUGAGGAACAGGCAAACAUUUCUCCUGCAAGCAUUUACUGAAGCAGACUAUAAAAACAAGUUUGGAUACUCCACCGGAAUGCUGUCACAGUUCUGAAUUUGGAAACUGAUAUUACCAUGUCCGUAAAGGACAAAGAAUGGAGGCUCCAAAUGUUGUAAUGAGUAACGCUUUUUAAAACUCAGAAAACUGACCAACAUCUGAGAACUAACUUGAUCCAGCCAAAUAUUUCUGGGUAUAAGAAGAGGCAAUGAUAAUUAGAAUUGCUGCUUGUAGAUAGGUAGUUUAAACUACACACAGUAGCUGGAUGUCUUCAAGGUAAAAGCAACUGAAGAGCAUUAGUGUUCAAGUAUCAUUAACCUCUCCAAAACGUUUCUUGGCAAACGGUUCUGAAGGCCUUCACUGAGUUUCUGUCAUUCUUCC